UUAUGUCUACAUGUAUUAUUAUAUAUUAUAGUUGCUCCUAAUGGUAAUGGCAAUGAUGAAACUAUUCCAGCACCAACUAAAAGAGGAAGAGAAGGAGGUUUUGAUAUUAAAACAGCUAAAAAAAAGAUCAAACAAGUUAUGAUUGAGAAUCACUCUGAUUUUGCUGGGCUUCUCCAGUUUUCUCUGGAAGAUGUUGCUAACAAACUGUUUGAGGUUCAUAUGAUUCCUCCUAAAGUUCAACAGUUGCCAACUUAUGAUGCCAUAUCCACCUGUUUUGUAUCUAUGAUGAGUUUAUUAGACUCUAAGUCAGAUUUAGAGGAACAUUGCAUGAUGUUUCUAGAGGCUCUGUCUAGUGUUGGGGGACCAAUAGAACGCGUUGCUAAACGCUUGCAAGAAAAAUGGACAGCAGCUCUGGAGGGUGCACUUCAGUUUGAACAGCCUGGGAAAAGAGUUAGAACUAAUAAUGAUGCACUUAAUGGUUUUAAUUAUUAGAAUUUUUAGUUGAUGCUAUGUUCUAUUUUGUUCUUGUCUUUUUCUCUAAUUGUUUUCAGUAUUCAUUCUUCAUUGUAA
Amphimedon queenslandica is the source of this 570-nucleotide long non-coding RNA. RefSeq lists it as uncharacterized. The record is from RefSeq and is a predicted model, not a curated record. The transcript has 2 exons. NCBI's taxonomy places the organism in Eukaryota, Metazoa, Porifera, Demospongiae, Haplosclerida, Niphatidae.